GGAGUAGUACUCAAGCGGUCGAAGAGGCGUGACUCGAAAUCUCGUAGGCCCUGCAAGGGGCGCCAGGGUUCAAAUCCCUGCUACUCCGCCA
Molecule: transfer RNA, 91 nt
Filed under: Faecalibacterium prausnitzii
Lineage: Bacteria; Bacillati; Bacillota; Clostridia; Eubacteriales; Oscillospiraceae
Also listed under: 5 other names
Description: tRNA-Ser
Rfam family: tRNA
About the family: Transfer RNA (tRNA) molecules are approximately 80 nucleotides in length. Their secondary structure includes four short double-helical elements and three loops (D, anti-codon, and T loops). Further hydrogen bonds mediate the characteristic L-shaped molecular structure. tRNAs have two regions of fundamental functional importance: the anti-codon, which is responsible for specific mRNA codon recognition, and the 3' end, to which the tRNAs corresponding amino acid is attached (by aminoacyl-tRNA synthetases). tRNAs cope with the degeneracy of the genetic code in two manners: having more than one tRNA (with a specific anti-codon) for a particular amino acid; and 'wobble' base-pairing, i.e. permitting non-standard base-pairing at the 3rd anti-codon position.
Source: RNAcentral